RNA transcript from Phragmites australis (common reed), 1121 nucleotides. RefSeq lists it as uncharacterized. The record is from RefSeq and is a predicted model, not a curated record. The transcript is spliced from 5 exons. Lineage: Eukaryota; Viridiplantae; Streptophyta; Magnoliopsida; Poales; Poaceae.
UCAUAUUCCUUCCGUCGCUCUCCGCUGGCCUACUCCACGCCCGACACGCGGAGAGGCUGCCACCGUGGCUCUCCAAGGGAAGGAUCUCCGUUUUGUGUGUCAAAGCGGUGGGGAUGCGCCUGUCGUGCCACUCCGAGUGAAGGGGCUCCACUCCGUUCAGAGGACGACAACCCUUGCAGCGCCAACCAUCGAGCAGCUUCGUGCCAACCCUCCAGUCUUCCAUCUAUCGGCAGCAUCUGCAGCCCCGACGGCAGCGGGGAGCCAUUGCGGCAGUGUCUCUAGGAGGAAAGUGUGCUGUGGCUGCAUGUGGCGUCCAAGGGCUCGACGUUGGACCUGCCCUCAUGUACCUGGCGUGUACCAGGCGAGGUAACACCUGAAUGCCAUCCUCGUCGUCUCGUGUCACUUUCGCUACUGUGGUAGAUGUUUGCCUAGCAACAUGCUUGGUGCAGUUUUGGGAUCUUUAUUUGUAAGAUUACUAUCAUACCGUAGUUUUAGGCGCACAUAUUUGUUCCUAGCUAUUGCAAACCAGUGCAAAUGUUCCUGUUCAUGCUCUACAAAGGGAUAUAUAGGAGCAUAGAGAGGAUUGCCGAGGGGCAGUAAUUUUUACCCAGUCCUUUGUUAUCAGCAGCUUUGUAGCAAUGAUAGGUUCCUGGCCUCGACACCAGCAAUUCACUCAUGUGCCUCCUUCAUUUGCCAAUUCAGGUGCUCCUCGCAGCUAUGUGCUAACUAUUACUUUCGACUCAGGUGGAAGCAGCAAUGGAUAUUAUGGUAUCAAGAAGUUAGCAUUAUUGUUGUGGAGGAUCUGAUCCUAAUAUGCAACUGCAGCUACGCAAGGGAAGAUCUUCUUGAACUGGUAAUAAUGCUCUACGUGUUGAUUCAAUGACAAGAUCUUUCAUGGAGGUGAACAUACUUCAGCUCAAUAUGUCAGUACCGCCUACUAUUUCAUGGGAAGGCCCUUCAGGAGGCUAAAUUUGACAAGAGGUUAGUCACAUACUGCUGGUAGCUUUUGUUGUAUCAUAGAUUGGCUCUGACACAAAUGUUUACCAUCUACUACUAAAUCAGCUCAAGCUAUUUUGUUUCAGUGCAAUUGAGACAAGUCUUGUCGAAUAUGAGAUGCUGAU